RNA transcript from Chelonia mydas (Green sea turtle), 7315 nucleotides. RefSeq lists it as uncharacterized. Lineage: Eukaryota; Metazoa; Chordata; Testudines; Cheloniidae. The transcript is spliced from 2 exons. The record is from RefSeq and is a predicted model, not a curated record.
CACUAAGAACACUGGUGCCGAGUCAGACACAAACACAUUAAGGACUCAAAAUCCUUCCCUCCCAAUACAUGGUGGGCAUUACACUGGAUCUUGGAAAAUAAGCUAUUGCAUGUGCACACUAUCUGGCCUUCCAAAAAAACCAGCACCCUAUGAAUCAGGAAGCAGGAAUGCACCAUAAAUGUUAACUUUAAGCAAGGUGAUUUUUGUUUGUUGAAAUUUUUUUUUGCAUUUUUUCCUUUGACUUUUUUCAUUGUGUUUUAUUAUUUAAACCACUGCACUUCUACAAAUUUAAUUGCAAAGGUUGGCUCAUACAAGUAGUAUCAUUUCAUGAACAGAAAAACAUCCAAAAACUGAAUGAGAAGCCACUGGAUGGCCUCACAUACUCAGAAAUGCUUGGGGCAACCACUACUGGAAUAUCUCACUGCGUAGGACAAUUUGAACUUUAAAGUCACAUGAUGAAACCAUUGGUUUUCUAAACAUGCAACGUAUGCAGUUUGAAUAACUGAAAACCGAGUUCCUGUUUCCCCUGCAGAACUGUAGGUUUUUGUAGUCUGUGACUGUCUGGGAUUUUUAGCUUGAUACACAGCAACUAAAGAAGUGACUUUGUUUACGCAGGGAGCAGAGUAUGUAUUUAAAAAGAGUUAUUUCCUCCUAACAGUAAUUAUAUUUCAUCUCACUAUUCACUGCGAAAGCCUCAGCCAGUUGCAUCUGUGGAACAUUUCUUUGCAGAGUCCAGCAUUGCCUCUUGUGUGUUACAUUGAAUUGCUCCGCUCCAGCUGUUGGCAGUGAAGGAUAAUUUAUUAGCUGUGUGCCUGUGCUUCAGAGAGCAGGAGUCUGACACGUACACCUUCACUGCCUGCACACAAAGCAUAACAGAUCAGACUAGAGCAACGUAGUGCCAGGAAAAAAAAACAAACAGAAUGGGAAGGGAGAGACAACAUGAAUCAGAAGUGGCAAAGAGUCCUGUGGCACCUUGUAGACGAACAGACGUAUUGGAGCAUAAGCUUUCGUGGGUGAAUACCCACUUCGUCGGAUGAAUCAGAAGAACAGUGGACAGAAGAGCAACAGGAGAAUGGUGUUCAACUAUAACGAAAUGGAGAAGAACAAAGGCAAGGAAGGAGAUAAUCUAAAGAGGUGUAGGAAAGAAAUAAGCAAGACAAGAUAAAAAAGUUCAUACAAACAGAACAUAUUGAGGAUGAUUUUGUGAUUGAGGCACAGGACUUAAAUUACAUGAGAUGGGGAAUUAAUUCAUGUGAUGUCCGGUGCCUCACUUCCCUAGAUACAAAAUGCUGACAAUGUUAUCUACGUAACUUACAGGAGAAUUGUGAGGAAAAAUUAAAUACGGUUUGUCAGGCGCUUAGGGAUUAGAUUGAUAAGUUCCACAGUAAACCAAUAAAGAAAGGACAUAUAAUCAGGCAGAGCAUAAACUGUGGGGGGUUGUUGAGAGUACACCACAUGCCAUUGCAGUAACGUAAGGAUUAGCAGCAAAUGUAUGGAACACCAGAAUUUAUCAGAGAGUGGUUGAAAGGGAAUGUUAAGUCCUUCAUGUUUUCCAUACUGGAAGCUCUAAGGGUAUGUCUACACAGCAGCUGGGAAGGUGUUUCCCAGCACAGGUAGACAGAAAGCUAGCGUGCUAAAAAGAGCAUGGCUACAGUGGCACAGGCAGUGGCUUGGGCUAGCCAGCCAAGUACCUACCUACGGGAUCAGAAGGGUUUGUACUUGGGUGGCUAACCCAAGCUGCUGACCAUUCUGCUGCAGCCACACUGCUAUUUGCAGCAUGCUAACACAAGCAGAGCUAGCAUGCAACUAUCUACCCACAUUGAGAAGCACCCUAACAGCGGCUGGAUAGACAUACUAGUGUUUUGAGUAAAUUUACAGCCUGCUUGACUGCCUGGAUUUUCUGCAGUGGAAGAGGUGUGAAAUAAUUGCCUUCAAGCUUUCUGCUGCCUCCCCCACAGCCACACAUCUAUUUACUUUGCAGAGCUAGUGUGGAACUCCUCAAACCCAGCUGAUAAUAUUAUUAGGGAAUACAUCUAUCAACACAGAUUCAUAAGAACAUAAGAAUGUCCAUAGUGGGACAGAACAACGGUCCAUCUAGUCCAGAAUCCUGUCUUCCGACAGUGGCCAGUGCCAGGUGAUUCGGAAGGAAUGAACAGAAGAGGGCAAUUAUUGAGUGAUCCAUUCCCUGUCAUGCAGUCCCAGCUUCUGGCAAUCAAAGGCUUAGGGAUACCUAGAGCAUAGGGUUUCCUCCCUGACCAUCUUAGCUAAUAGCCAUCGAGGGACCUAUCCUCCAGGAACUUAUCUAAUUCUUUUUUGAAACCAGUUAUACUCUUGGCCUUCACAACAUCCCCGGCAACGCGUUACACAGGCUGAAUGUGCAUUGUGUGAAGUAAUUCCUCAGGUUUGUUUUAAAUCUGCUGCCUAUUAAACUCCUUUAGUGACCCUGGUUCUUUUGUUAUAUGAAGGGGUAAAUAACACUUCCUUAUUCACUUUCUCCAUACCAUUAAUGAUUUCAGUACCAGUUUGCCUGGUACUGAAGUUAGGCUUACCGGCUUGUAAUUGCCAGGAUCGCCUCUGGAGCCUUUAUUAAAAAUCCAUGUUACAUUAGCUAUCCUCCAGUCAUUUGAUAAAGAGGCUGAUUUAAGUGAUAAGUUACAUACCACAGUCAGUAGUGCUGCAGUUUCAUAUUUUUAAAUGCUACUGUGGCAGGUUUCUUUGUUAUCCCCCAACCCCCAAGGAUGUUAAAUUGAAUUACAUUAUGGUUGCUGUUAUCAAGAGAUUCAGCUAUAUUUACCUCUUCGACCAGAUCCUGUGUGCCACUUAGGACUAAAUCAGGCACUGACUCUCCCCUUGAGGAUUCCAGGACUAGUUGCUCUAAGUAGCAGUCACUGAUGGUGACUAGAAAUUUUCUCUCUACAUGCCAUCCUGAGGUGAUAUGUACCCAAUCAGUACAGGGAUAGUUAUCUAGUCUUCUGUUUGUGUAGCCUCUCUAAUCUCCCUGAGCAUUUCACCAUCACUGUCAUUCUCCUGGUCAGGUGGUCGGUUGUACAUUCCAACUGCUAUACUCUUACUAUUCAAGCAUAGCAUUUUUAUCCAUAGAGAUUCUACGCUACAGUUCGAUUCAUUUAAGAUUUUUACUAUAUUUGAGUCCCUGCAUUAAAAAUUUUUCUGACAAAUGGUCUGAAAACUUUGCAUAAUAGACUACCAUAAAAGAGAUGUGGGCAUCAGGAUUAUCUUACUGCAGGUAAAGGAUCACAUACAUCCAACAAAGAAGCCUUGUUUGAACCUCAGGAUCAGUUUAGUAGUAUACUAGUGCACUCUGACAGUGAAUUCACAAAGCAGCAUUGGUUUCAGUCUUUAAAAAUUCUGCUCAUCUUAGAAGUAAUAACUAUUAGCAAAUAAUAUAUAGAGGCUAAGCCAACUGUCCAACAUCACACAGUGAAUCAACUGCAGAGAUGGCAAUAGACCCCAAUAGCCUUAGACUCCUGGUCCCAUUCUAUAACCACUAGAGACCAUGCUCCUCCACUGCAUCACCCGAUCCUGUGAGGUGUUGCUUAGCACCUCUUGUAAGGUGUUACGGAUCCUCAACUCUCUUUGAAAUCAGUUGGUGACACCUGCCAAGCUCUCUUUGAAAUCAGUUGGCAACACCUGCCAAGCUCUGUGCACCUUGUAGGAUAGAACUGAAGUAGGAAAAAUAGAUUUUGCAAUAAUGUCUGUCAGAGAAAGAAGCAUGGCUCUAAGUGUUAGUUUGUGUCCCCUCCAACCGUAUAAAAGAGAGUGGAUAGUGAGUCCUUUGGACUAAACCCACACUUAUGGAGAACUCUUUCCUACCUUAGUCUGAAUUCACAGCUGACAACAUGUGUUCUCCUUUUUCAAGAACACACCUGAAGAGAUAGCAAAUGAAAAGACAAGGCCGAUGUUUGUACGUUUUAAAAACUACUAGCAGGAAAGAAGCUCCCAGAAGCAAUUUACGAGACAAAACUGAAACCUAAAGUACUCAUUUUAAUCUUGCUAAUUUUCCAGUUUAAAAAUAUUCAAGGAUACACCACAAGCCUCUAACUACACAAAAAUAGCAUCUUGUGUUUCCAUUUUUAUUCUCCUGGGGUGGACCACAUGUUCAUGAGUUCAAGCAGGCACUAUGAGUUUAUUGAUUAAGAAAGGAAAGUUUUAAACAGCUUGUUGUUUUGGUAAGAUCUCACUAACGUGGGGAGUUUCCCUGGAAUUUUUUUUAGCACGGUGCAUUGCUAGGAUUAAAACAGAAAACAAUUACGUCUUAUCUACACAGGAAAGUUUUACUAGUUAUACUAAUAUAUCUAUUUGGGUAUAAUUAUAACAGUGUAACAAACCUGUCUCCUCCCUACCUCCUCCCCCUCCCCCGCCCAAAUCCGGACAUCCUUAACUCUAGUGUGAAUGCCUUGCUACAGUUUAGCUUAAACGCCUUACCAAGUGACAAACUAAACUGAAAAAAGACACUUGUACACUGGAAUAGAAGUACCCACAUGAGGAGUGAUACUAGUUUAAAUGCACACCAGUUUAAAUUUACAUCUUAGGGGUGAUGGGGGAGAAAGGGGGGAAAAGGGAGAACAGGGAGGAAGAGGAAAAGAAAAAAAUUGUAGACGAGGCCUCAGUUGUAAUUUUAAUUUGUUUCUGGCAUCUUUCUUGAUAAGUGUGAAAAAAUGAGACCUAUACAGGUUGAGAAUAUCUUCUUCAAAAUGUCACUGAGCACAAAAGCAGCAGGAUAAGUCUACUCGGUCAGUAAUCAAGAGGAUGCAAUUUAUUAAGGCAAUAAGUUGUAACUUCUGCAGUAUGCUGCUCUAUGUCUAAUCUUCUUUGUCUCAUAGUCUCCUUGGUCUUAUGCUUUGGAUAUUCAAAAGGGGAGUUAGCUGCAAGUAUGAUUUCCUUGGCUAUAGUCAACAGAUGGAGCUACUGCCAGUACCAAGGCCAGAUCCUGGCCAACUGCAAACAUACAUCAGUAUUAUCAUCGGUUUUUCAAUAGUCUGAUGCAGGCUGAUAUUAUUUACAGUGAAAUCUAAAGCUACCUUCUUGUUUUCAUGAGCAAGGAUACUACCACAAAAGUAGCCUGCUAUAAAGCUAUACUGAGAUUCCAUGUAAAGGAACUGGACAUGGUUACUCGAGAGGUUACUUGGCCAGCAGUCUGAAAGGAGUUCAGAAAACAGUAAUGGAAACAUUUAUAGAGCCAGAACUAACCACAAAUGCUCAAUGCUGUCAAAAAAGUUGACAAAUACUCAAUGCUGUCAAAAAGUUGACAGGUCCAGAUGAAAAUAUCACAGGAGGCUGAGAUAAAAAAACUCUUUAACCUUAGAAAGAACAUCUCACAUUUAUCUCAGCCUCCCAAUGUCAUUGUGUAGGAUGAUUCCUUAAGCAAGUGACCACCCUCCUCCAUGUGCCCAGCUUCUCUUCAUUACCUCACAGUCUAGCCUCUUUGGCCAUGUCUAAACUACAAACUUUGGUCGAUACAAGUUGGGCAUAAAGCCGCCAUAGUCAGCAUAUCGCUCAUGUGCAUGUAUACUUGGUUCCUUGUAUCGGCACGGCACAUACUCACCAGGAAUACGAGUGUCGAUACACAGCGUGGUGCACUAUGGGUAGGUAUUCUACUAUGCAGCUUGCCAUCUGCCGGCACACUGUCUUUUGGCAACUUUUGGCAAUGCAUGGUGGGGCAGAAAUGAGUCACACAGUGGUGACUGUGAGCAAGAGGUCAAGUUCCCAGCAUGCAACUUACUUCAUCCCAUAAUGCAAUAAUUUUCCAGCCUUUUUUUAAAAUCCCCAAAACCUGUGCGGCACUUCUCACUGUCCAUCAUCUCUGACAGAAGCAUGGAGCCCAUACAGCUCUGCAGUAUUGUCAUGAGCGUUGAAAACACAGGAUGAAUGAGCCUCUGAUAUUCGCAUAGGAAGUACCACAGGAAGGGGGGACAUGACAAUUUGUAGAGAACAGAUUGCUCUCUGACAUAGGCAAAAACAAUUCAAGGCUGUUGGUGGCCCUCACAGAGCAGUUGCAGAUGGUGGAAUGCCACUUGAUGGAUCACAAGGCACGUGUCGCUGACAUCAGUGUUGGCUGAUCAGGAAAAAUGCACGACACUUGCAUCUUUUACUCCUCGGGGAAUUCUACGCCAAAAAAAUAAAAAUUUUGGCAUAUUUUAUUUGUCAAAAUAAUGCAAUAUAAUCAUGAAAGUUUCAAUUAUUUGGGUAAUUUAUUUAACCUACAAUACAGAAAAAAAUCACAACUAUUCAGCAUUUCCUAAACACAUGAAAGUUAAGUUACAAAUACUUGGUAACCAAUACCCUGUAUUCCAGUUAUAAUCCUGGGUUACAUUACAGAACACCACACAGCAAAAUAAAGUAGAAUGUCAUUUUAAAUUGCUCUUACAUUUUUGCUAAUCAUUGUCCUGCAUUUUAGUAUAAAUCCAGUAUUUUCAUUUAAAUUACAGUACAGAAAACAAAGAGCCUUCAAGUUUUUCUCACUUAGUGAUUUCCUUCUGGCAGAAAGGAUCAAAUUGUUCAAGUGAAAAACUUCUCUCCAUCUGCAGACUUUGAGACAGCAUUUAUGCAAUUCAAGGCUAGUUUGACGACAUUUUGAAUUCUCUCUUUCAAUAAAAGCCAAAACACUUGGAGAUCUACAAAAAUAGGUUUACUUUGAAUAGCCUCAAACACAACCUUUUCCCGGUACAGUUUUAGCUCCUGUUCAGGUACCUCAGAAAAACCAGGUAUUGCUUGAAAAUAUCUCAGUGUUCUAGCAGGAUAUUAAACACGAUGAAUAUCAAAUAACCUACAAGCCUUCAGAAAAUUCAGAUCUGGCUGUUGAAAUUACAAAUAUUUCUCAAACUUUUCCACGGGCUGUGCCUCCCAAAACAGCCUGGCGUGGCCCCACCCACGCUCUGCCCCCAAACCCUUCCUGCUGCUGUUCCCUUCUGUGGCUGAGAGGCUAGGACAGGGAGGAUGAGGGCCACGGUACGCACAAGACCCCGCCAUGCCCGUCUCCCGGGGCUGGGCCCUCGCUGUGCUCCGGCAGUGGUGCCCACCCCAGGCUGGGACCUUGCUGCGCUCCGGCCUCGCCGUCUGCUUGCCUGCCCAGCAUUGGGGCUCCGGGCAUGUGGGGGCGUGUGUGCUCCAGACUCCAGCGGGGGAAAGGGAACAGAAGGGAUGGAGCCUUGGGCAGAGCUGGAGGGGCCAGAGGCUAGCCUCCCCCCAAGGGCGUGUUCACCCGUUGCCCAUGAGAUUUUCAGAAGCUUCAUGGAAUGCCUCUUUAAAGAGAUCUAGGCAGGGCAAGUCUUUCAACAGGAGAUAAAGUUUUCUGCCU